Molecule: long non-coding RNA, 216 nt
Filed under: Elaeis guineensis (African oil palm)
Lineage: Eukaryota; Viridiplantae; Streptophyta; Magnoliopsida; Arecales; Arecaceae
Description: long non-coding RNA (EGUI_LNC061913)
Source: RNAcentral
AUGAGUAUCCACUCAGGAUCAGCCUGGAACAGUCCUCUUUAAUCUGAAUUUUGGUUCUUCCAAAAUUUAGCCUGCUGAAUCUGAACGAAGCCUGAAUCAUGAUCAACGCUUGAUCUUUCUCCUUGAUCUUCUUCUUCUUCUCUUCUUUAGAGUUUCUUCUUACUUUGUGCUGCUACAAAAUACUAGUAACCAGCAAAUUAUGAGAUGCCUAAUACC